RNAcentral lists this ribosomal RNA (492 nucleotides) under uncultured bacterium. Its description in RNAcentral is "partial 16S ribosomal RNA". It matches the Rfam family "Bacterial small subunit ribosomal RNA", at positions 29 to 507 of the family's 1533-position model. The record is from RNAcentral.
AGUGAACGCUGGCGGUAGGCCUAACACAUGCAAGUCGAACGGCAGCACAGUAAGCUCUUGCUCUUACGGGUGGCGAGUGGCGGACGGGUGAGGAAUACAUCGGAAUCUACUUUUUCGUGGGGGAUAACGUAGGGAAACUUACGCUAAUACCGCAUACGACCUACGGCUGAAAGCAGGGGAUCUUCGGACCUUGCGCGAUUGAAUGAGCCGAUGUCGGAUUAGCUAGUUGGCGGGGUAAAGGCCCACCAAGGCGACGAUCCGUAGCUGGUCUGAGAGGAUGAUCAGCCACACUGGAACUGAGACACGGUCCAGACUCCUACGGGAGGCAGCAGUAGGGAAUAUUGGACAAUGGGCGCAAGCCUGAUCCAGCCAUACCGCGUGAGUGAAGAAGGCCUUCGGGUUGUAAAGCCCUUUUGUUGGGAAAGAAAAGCAGCAGGUUAAUACCCCGCUGUUCUGACGGUACCCAAAGAAUAAGCACCGGCUAACUUCGUG